GCUUUGUGUGAGCAACAUGGCUGUUUAUUUCACCUGGAUGCAGGCAGGCUGAGUGCAAAAAGAGAGUCAGCGAAGGGAGAUAGGGGUGGGGCCAUUUUAUAGGAUUUGGGAAGGUAAUGGAAAAUUACAGUCAAAGGGGGUUGUUCUCUGGUGGGCAGGGGUGGGGGACACAAAGGUGCUCAGUGGGGGAGCUUCUGAGCCAGGAGAAGGAAAUUCACAGGGUUAAUCCCUCAGUUAAGGUGGGGCAGGAACAAAUCACAAUGGUGCAAUGUCAUCAGUUAAGGCGGGGCAGGGCUUUUUCACUUCUUUUGUGGAUCUUCAGUUACUUCAGGCCAUCUGGAUGUAUACAUGCAAGUCACAGGGGAUGCGAUGGCUUGGCUUGGGCUCAGAGGCCUGACAUUCCUGCCUUCUUAUAUUAAUAAGAAAAAUAAAACAAAAUAGUGUUGAAGUCUUGAGGCGGCGAAAAUUUUUGGGGGUGGUAUGGAGAGAGAAUGGGCGAUGUUUCUCAGGGCUGCUUCGAGCGGGAUUAGGGGCGGCGUGGGAACCUAGAGUGGGAGAGAUUAAGCUGAAGAAAGAUCUUGUGGUAAGGGGUGAUAUUGUGGGGUUGUUAGAAGAAACAUUUGUCAUAUAGAAUGAUUGCUGAUGGCCUGGAUACGGUUUUGUUUGAAUUGAAAAACUAAAUGGAAUAAGAGAAGGAGAAAAACAGGUAUAAAAGGUCUUAAGAAUUGGGAGGACCUAGGACAUCUGAUUAGAGGUGCCUAAGGAAAUUCAGCAUAGUCCUGCCAGCAAAGAUUAUUUAUUUACUUCAAGAGUUUAGAGUGGCAGUUUGGGGAUAGCACCAGAAGAUAUCAGCUGUGAUGGCUUGGAGAAACAGUGUAAACCAGCAGGGUAAACAAGAGCAGGGCAUGUAUGAGUAGUUGAGAAUGGUGAAUAGGAGUAUGACUAGACAAAAGAUAGUAGGGAUGACAAGUUUUUUUGGGGCACAGUCUAAGUUGGUCUGGUGUUGAAUGAGACUGGGGCCUAAUAAAAAGGAGCGUCUAUACAGGAGCUUAAAUGGGCUGUACCUUGUAGCAUUCUGAGGACAGGCCUGAAUUCUGAGAAGCGAAAGUGGUAAAAGUAUUGUCCAGUCCUUUUUAAGUUGGUGGCUGAGCUUGGUGAGGUGUCUUUUCUUGAAGAUGGAGGACCAUAAAGGAUAUAAAGGUUUCACUGAAUACUAAGAGCCUGAAAAACUGCUUGGCUGAUUUGACUAAUAAAGGCUGGUCUGUUAUCAGACUGUAUAGAGGUGGGAAGGCUAAACUGAGGAAUUAUGUCUGACAGAAUGGAAGAAAUGACUGUGGUGGCCUUCUCAGACCCUAUAGGAAAGGCCUCUACCUAUCCAGUGAAAGAGUCUACCUAGACUAAGAAGUAUUUUAGUUAUCUGACUCAGGACAUGUUGAGUAAAGCUAAUUUGGCAGUCCUGGGUGGGGGCAAAUCCUCGAGCUUGAUGUGUAGGGAAGGGAGGGGGCCUGAAUAAUCCCUGAGGAGUAGUAGAAUAGCAGAUGGAACACAGAGAAGUUAUUUCCUUGAGGAUAGAUUUCCACGAUGGAAAGGAAAUGAGAGUUUCUGAGAGGCAGGCUAGUGGCUUGUACUAUAGCAUAGCCUGCCUUUGCUGGUGUGUGGCGAUUAGGCCUGGUGGAACUGCCAUCAAUAAAUCAAGCGUGAUCAGGGUGAGGAACAGGAAAGAAGGAAAUAUGGGGAAAUGGGGUGAAUAUCAGAUGGAUCAGAGAGAUAAAGUCAUGGGGGUCAGGUGUGGUAUCAGGAAUAAUGUGGGAGGCCAGAUUGAAGUCUGGGCCAGGAACAAUGGUAAUUGUGGGACUUAAAGAGUGAGUACAGCUGAAGGAGCCGGGGAGCUGAAAGUAUAUGCAUCAGGUAUGAGGAAGAAAAUAGAUUUUGGAAGUUAUGAGAAAUGUAGAGAGUGAGUUGAGCAUAGUUUGUGAUUUUUAGGGCCCCUAACAGUAUUAAAGCAGCAGCAGCCGCUGCACGCAGACAUGAGGGCUUGGCUAAAACAGUAAGGUCAAGUUGUUUGGACAGAAAGGCUACACAGUGUGCUCCUGGCUCUUGUGUAAGAAUUCUGACCACACUAACCAUGCCUAGGAAGGAAAGGAGUUGUUCUUUUGUAAGGGAUUGAGGUUUGGGAGAUUAAUCGGACACGAUCAGCAGGGAGAGCACGUGUGUUUUUAUGAGAAUUAUGCCGAGAUAGGUAACAGAUGAGGAUGAAACUUGGGCUCGACUGAAGUAAUGGGGGCUGUCUGUGAAGCCUUGCGGCAGUACAGCCCAGGUAAUUUGCUGAGCCUAAUGGGUGUCAGGGUCAGUCUAAGUGAAGACAAAGAGAGGCUGGGAUGAAGGGUGCAAAGGAAUAGUAAAGAAAGCAUGUUUGAGAUCCAGAACAGAAUAAUGGGUAGUAGAGGGAGUUAUUGAGGAUAGGAGAGUAUAUGGGUUUGGCACCAUGGGGUGGAUAGGCAAAACAAUUUGGUUGAUAAGACGCAGAUCCUGAACUAACUUGUAAGCCUUGUCUGGUUUUAGGACAGGUAAAAUGGGGGAAUGGUAAGGAGAGUUUAUAGGUUUUAGAAGCCCAUGCUGUAGCAGGUGAGUGAUAACAGGUUUUAAUCCUUUUAAAGCUUGCUGUUGGAUGGGAUAUUGGCGUUGAGCCAGGUAAGGGUGAUUAGGUUUUAAUGAGAUGGUAAGUGGUGCGUGAUUGGUCGCCAAGGAGGGAGUAGAGGUAUCUUAUACUUGUGGGUUAAGGUGGGGGAAUACAGGAGGAGGAAGCAAAGGAGGCUUUUGGAUUGGGAAGAAGGGCAGCAAUGAGAUGCGGCUAUAGUCCAGGAAUAGUCAGGGAAGCAGAUAAUUUGGUUAAAAUAUCUCAGCCUAAUAAGGGAACUGGGCAGGUGGGGAUAACUAAAAAAGAGUGUAUAAAAGAGUAUUGUCUAAGUUGGCACCAGAGUUGGGGAGUUUUAAGAGGUUUAGAAGCCUGGCUGUCAAUACCCACAACAGUUAUGGAGGCAAGGGAAACAGGCCUUUGAAAAGAAGGUAAUGUGGAGUGGGUAGCCUCCGUAUUGAUUAAGAAGGGGACGGACUUACCCACCACUGUGAGAAUUACCUAAAGCUCGGCGUCCGUGAUGGUCUACAGGGCUUCCGAGGCGAUCAGGCAGCAUCAGUCUUCAGCCGCAAAGCGAAGAAGGAAUCAGUCAGAGAGCCUUGGGCCAGAGUUCCAGGGGCUCUGGGAGUGGCUGCCAGGUGAGUUGAACAGUCCGAUUUCCAGUGUGGUCCCGCACAGAUGGGACAUGGCUUAGGAGGAAUCCUGGGCUGCAGGCAUUCCUUGGCCUGGUGGUCAGAUUUCUGGCACUUGUAGGAAGCUCCUGGGGGAGGAGGUUCUGGAGGAAUGCCUGGCUGCUGCAGUUCAGGCGUUUGGAAGUUCUUGUGUGCUGGAGAUGUGGCUGGGGUUUGUCUUACAGUGGAGGCAAGGAAUUGCAACUUUUUUUUUAUUAUUGUACACCUUGAAGGUGAGGUUAAUUAAGUCCUGUUGCGGGGUUUGAGGGCCAGAUUCUAAUUUUUGGAGUUUUAUUUAAUGUCGGGAGCAGAUUGGGUAAUAAAAUGUAUAUUGAGAAUAAGACGGCCUUUUGACCUUUUAGGGUCUAGGGCUGUAAAGCGUCUCAGGGUUGCUGCCGAAUAAGCCAUGAACUGGGCUGGGUUUUUAUAUUUGAUAAAAAAAAGAGCCUAAAAGCUUCUGAUUUGGGAUAAAGAAAAAGGAGCCUUAACCUUGACUAUGCCUUUGGCUCCAGCCACCUUUUUAAGAGUAAAUUGCUGGGCAAGUGAGGGAGGGCUAGUCACAGAACGAAACUGUAAGCCAGACCAGGUGUGAGGAGGGGAGGCGAUAAAAAGAUUACAGGGUGGAGGAGCGGAGGCUGAGGAAGAAUUGGGACCUAGCUUGGCCUGGCGAGGAAGGGAGAGGUCAGAUGGGUCUGUAGAAAAGGAAGAUUAAAAAGACUCAGCGACGCUUGGGGUUGGGACUGAGGGGACAGACGGGAGGGAAAGAAGGAAGAUUUGGGACGAGUUGCACUGGGCACAGAGACUAGGAAGGGACUGAUGUGUAAAAGAAAGCCUGAACGUCAGGCACCUCAGACCAUUUGCCCAUUUUAUGACAAGAAUUAUUUAGAUCUUGUAGGAUGGAAAAAUUGAAAGUGCCAUUUUCCGGCUAUUUGGAACUACUGUUGAGUUUGUAUUGGGGUCGAGCGGCAUUGCAGAAGAAAAUAAGACGCUUAGAUUUUAGGUCAGGUGAGAAUUGAAGAGGUUUUAAGUUUUUGAGAACACAGGCUAUGGGAGAAGAAGGAGGAAUGGAAGGUGGAAGCUUGCCUAUAGUGAAGGAGGCAAGCCCAGAGAAAAGAGUAGAGACACGGAGAAGGGGUAGGGGUUUCUUGCCCUCCAGAAAAGCAGAGAAAGGGUUGGGGCAUGGAAAUAAGGAAUUGGGGCACAGAGAUAAGAGGUUGGGGUGUGGAAAUAAGGGAUUGGGCGUUCUUGCUCCCUAGAAAAGCGGGACUUGCCACUAAGGGUGAAGGAGAGGGGGUUGAGGGGUACUUGCCCCUCCCCCAGAAAAGCAGAGAAGGGGUAGAGACAAGGAGAGAAGCGGGACUUGCGGCUAAGGGUGAAGGACCAAGGCAGGUGUCCCUGCGUGGUCUGACACCUUUGAAACAUGGGUGAAUAAUCAGAGAGGCUUCCCUGCAAUGAUUAAACACCAAGGGAAGGCUGCCUUCCCAGUCCGUGACCGGCGCCGGAGUUUUGGGUCCACGGAUAAAACGUGUCUCCUUUGUCUCUACCAGAAAAUG
This 4859-nucleotide long non-coding RNA is filed under the name Homo sapiens (human). Its description in RNAcentral is "long non-coding RNA NONHSAT170803.1". The record is from RNAcentral. Lineage: Eukaryota; Metazoa; Chordata; Mammalia; Primates; Hominidae.